CAAUAGCGUAUAUUAAAGUUGUUGCAGUUAAAAAGCUCGUAGUUGGAUUUGUGGCGGUCCCUGUGGUCCAAUUUUGGUACUCUCGGGGACUGCCAUCCUUGGGUGGAUCCUGUGUGGCAUUAGGUUGUCGUGCAGGGGAUGCCCAUCGUUUACUGUGAAAAAAUUAGAGUGUUCAAAGCAGGCUUACGCCGUUGAAUAUAUUAGCAUGGAAUAAUGAGAUAGGACCUUGGUACUAUUUUGUUGGUUUGCGCACCGAGGUAAUGAUUAAUAGGGACAGUUGUGGGUAUUCGUAUUCCAUUGUCAGAGGUGAAAUUCUUGGAUUUCUGGAAGACGAACUAAUGCGAAAGCAUUUAUCAAGGAUGUUUNCAUUA
Molecule: ribosomal RNA, 371 nt
Filed under: uncultured eukaryote
Lineage: Eukaryota
Description: partial 18S ribosomal RNA
Rfam family: Eukaryotic small subunit ribosomal RNA
Source: RNAcentral